GUAGGGUGCAAGCGCUAAUCGGAAUUACUGGGCGUAAAGCGUGCGCAGGCGGUUGUGCAAGACAGAUGUGAAAUCCCCGGGCUUAACCUGGGAAUUGCAUUUGUGACUGCACGGCUAGAAUCUGGCAGAGGGGGGUAGAAUUCCACGUGUAGCAGUGAAAUGCGUAGAGAUGUGGAGGAAUACCGAUGGCGAAAGCAGCCCCCUGGGCUAAGAUUGACGCUCAUGCACGAAAGCGUGGGGAGCAACCAGGAUUAGAUACCCUGGUAGUCCACGCCCUAAACGAUGUCUACUAGUUGUCGGGUCUUAAUUGACUUGGUAACGCAGCUAACGCGUGAAGUAGACCGCCUGGGGAGUACGGUCGCAAGAUUA
Molecule: ribosomal RNA, 369 nt
Filed under: uncultured bacterium
Lineage: Bacteria
Description: bacterial SSU rRNA
Rfam family: Bacterial small subunit ribosomal RNA
Source: RNAcentral